GCCCGUGUGGCUCAGUGGGCAGAGCGUCGGCCUGCGGACUGAAGGAUCCUGGAUUCGAUUCCAGUCAAGGGCA
Non-coding RNA from Myotis davidii, 73 nucleotides. Lineage: Eukaryota; Metazoa; Chordata; Mammalia; Chiroptera; Vespertilionidae. The record is from Rfam.